CCUACGGGCGGCAGCAGUGGGGAAUAUUGCACAAUGGGCGCAAGCCUGAUGCAGCGACGCCGCGUGAGGGAUGGAGGCCUUCGGGUUGUGAACCUCUUUCGCCAGUGAAGCAGGCCUGCUCCUGUGUGGGUGGGUUGACGGUAGCUGGAUAAGAAGCGCCGGCUAACUACGUGCCAGCAGCCGCGGUAAUACGUAGGGCGCGAGCGUUGUCCGGAAUUAUUGGGCGUAAAGAGCUCGUAGGCGGCUGGUCGCGUCUGUCGUGAAAUCCUCUGGCUUAACUGGGGGCUUGCGGUGGGUACGGGCCGGCUUGAGUGCGGUAGGGGAGGCUGGAACUCCUGGUGUAGCGGUGGAAUGCGCAGAUAUCAGGAAGAACACCGGUGGCGAAGGCGGGUCUCUGGGCCGUUACUGACGCUGAGGAGCGAAAGCGUGGGGAGCGAACAGGAUUAGAUACCCGUGUAGUC
Molecule: ribosomal RNA, 461 nt
Filed under: uncultured Actinomyces sp.
Lineage: Bacteria; Bacillati; Actinomycetota; Actinomycetes; Actinomycetales; Actinomycetaceae
Description: bacterial SSU rRNA
Rfam family: Bacterial small subunit ribosomal RNA
Source: RNAcentral